Molecule: ribosomal RNA, 139 nt
Filed under: Flosculariaceae sp. YW-2021
Lineage: Eukaryota; Metazoa; Rotifera; Eurotatoria; Flosculariaceae
Description: partial small subunit ribosomal RNA
Rfam family: Eukaryotic small subunit ribosomal RNA
Source: RNAcentral
CGCCCGUCGCUACUACCGAUUGAAUGGUUUAGUGAGAUCUUCGGAUUGGUCCGGAGGUGGCUUCACGGCCGCCUCUAGGUACUGAGAAGAUGAUCAAACUUGAUCAUUUAGAGGAAGUAAAAGUCGUAACAAGGUUUCC